RNAcentral lists this ribosomal RNA (761 nucleotides) under uncultured bacterium. RNAcentral's name for it is "bacterial SSU rRNA". It matches the Rfam family "Bacterial small subunit ribosomal RNA", at positions 771 to 1532 of the family's 1533-position model. The record is from RNAcentral.
AACAGGAUUAGAUACCCUGGUAGUCCACGCUGUAAACGAUGUCGAUUUGGAGGUUGUGCCCUUGAGGCGUGGCUUCCGGAGCUAACGCGUUAAAUCGACCGCCUGGGGAGUACGGCCGCAAGGUUAAAACUCAAAUGAAUUGACGGGGGCCCACACAAGCGGUGGAGCAUGUGGUUUAAUUCGAUGCAACGCGAAGAACCUUACCUACUCUUGACAUCCAGAGAACUUUCCAGAGAUGGAUCGGUGCCUUCGGGAGCUCUGAGACAGGUGCUGCAUGGCUGUCGUCAGCUCGUGUUGUGAAAUGUUGGGUUAAGUCCCGCAACGAGCGCAACCCUUAUCCUUUGUUGCCAGCGGUUCGGCCGGGAACUCAAAGGAGACUGCCAGUGAUAAACUGGAGGAAGGUGGGGAUGACGUCAAGUCAUCAUGGCCCUUACGAGUAGGGCUACACACGUGCUACAAUGGCGUAUACAAAGAGAAGCGACCUCGCGAGAGCAAGCGGACCUCAUAAAGUACGUCGUAGUCCGGAUUGGAGUCUGCAACUCGACUCCAUGAAGUCGGAAUCGCUAGUAAUCGUAGAUCAGAAUGCUACGGUGAAUACGUUCCCGGGCCUUGUACACACCGCCCGUCACACCAUGGGAGUGGGUUGCAAAAGAAGUAGGUAGCUUAACCUUCGGGAGGGCGCUUACCACUUUGUGAUUCAUGACUGGGGUGAAGUCGUAACAAGGUAACCGUAGGGGAACCUGCGGCUGGAUCACCUCCUU